Molecule: long non-coding RNA, 508 nt
Organism: Mastomys coucha (southern multimammate mouse)
Lineage: Eukaryota; Metazoa; Chordata; Mammalia; Rodentia; Muridae
Exons: 2
Source: RefSeq, a predicted model, not a curated record
UGUGAUGAGCUGUUUCCACCGACCACUACCAUGCUUUCCCUGCCCUCAUGGACUCAAACUGUGAGGCAGACUAAGUCCUUCUGUCCUGAGGUCAUUUGUGGUUUCUUGGAGGAAUAAGAAAAAUAACUAAUACAUUAUUUUUCACUCAGUUUAUAGCCUAUUGAGGAGUCAACAGAGGAUUCCCAUGAAGACAGGGUGUCAGCAGGAAUAGGAUCAACUCAGUCAAACCAGAACAUCACUUUACUGCUUCACAGGUGUCCUACUGUUUCCUCACAAUGAACAAACCCAUCCUAGAGUGGAAGAGCUUCAGGAAUUGAGCCUCUACUGUUGGAGGUCCUCUGCAGGCAGCAAUUGAUAGAACUGUGUCACCAGGAGGGGUUUUCAUGAUGAGAGGGCCACCAGUAGAAGCUAUUCAGCAAAACUGUUUGGUGCCUGCUUAAUCCUAAAUCAGCCAAGUGUAUUAUCUAGUUAAUUUUCUGUUUCUAUAAUAAAGUAUCAUUGUUAUAGC